RNAcentral lists this ribosomal RNA (417 nucleotides) under Triticum aestivum (bread wheat). RNAcentral describes it as "partial small subunit ribosomal RNA". Lineage: Eukaryota; Viridiplantae; Streptophyta; Magnoliopsida; Poales; Poaceae. The record is from RNAcentral.
AUGUGUCCCCCGAGCGCCUGGCCCGUCUCGAACCCCAUGCCGCAGAUGCUGCACUCGUGCCGCUUGUUCUCCCGUCUUCUCCGCUCUCUGAUAUCCCUGGCGAUGCGGACGCCGAGCUCCAGCUCGUGGCGGCCCCGAAGGUGGCUCGUCCGGUGCCCGCCGAGCGCCUGGAACGACGCGAAGGCACGGCCGCACGUCUUGCACACAAACUCCCCCUCACCCGACGUCGCCACCACGGCGCCGCUCGUGCGUCGCCGUGCUUUCUUGGCGGGUGACCUGGUUGUGUCCGUCGAAGUCGUGGACGACGUCGAUGAGUCCGUGGUCAGUUCCAGCGCCAGUGACAAUACCUCCUCGUCCCUCGCGCGCUUCAUCCCCGCUCCCAUGGAGUUUGAUCCUCCGAUUUCCUGUCCUUCGUAG